ACUCGAGUAGGGAGUCUGGCCUAGUGAAAGUCUCUGUUUCCUCCUUUUCUUACUUUUCACUCAAUAAAACCCUGCUUUACACACCCUUCAAACCAUCUGUGAGCCUGAAUUUUUACGGCCAUGGGACAGACAAGGAUCCUGUCUUUAUCUAAACUAAGGAAAAGUCCUGCAACAUUUGUGGUGCACAACGUGGGGCUCGAGAAGUGAUCAUCCAAAGUCCAGCUACCACAAUAUGUCUGGAUUGAAUCUUAAGGAUUCUUCCUGUUAUUCAUGCAUUGACUGGGCUUGGCUGGGCAGCUCUCUUCUGAAGUUGUAAUCGGAUGUUGUCUGUGGUUGCUGUCAUUUAAAUGCUCAGAUUGGCUGAAUGUCCAACGUGGCUCACUGACAUAGUUGGCAGAUCACUAAAUAGCUAGAAAUGCCAGAAACAGACAUGACAUAUCAUGGAUUCCAGGAAAACGCCUAUUUUGGAGUGAAACCAGGGCCGCCUUAUGAGCUAAACAGAGUGUGUUACAGCUUCAAUAGACUAAACAAGCUCUAAAUUUAUCUUCCUAUGGUCACGGGAUCUCAUAUAUUCUGGCUGUCAUUGUCAUAAUAAGCCACUCUUGGUCAUAUGGAAAAGCAUUCAGCUGCUCCCUGCCUUUGCUCACAGCGUGUGGUACUCUCUUAGAAGCUAUUCCUGUCCUAUUUAGGCAGUUAUUCCUGCUUCUUGUGUUGGACCUGAAGUCAACAGGGCCAGCAAUAGAGAAGAAAGAUGAUGUGAAGGAGAGCAACUGAAAUGGGAGAGUUCUCUGACCCACUCGUGGAACCUGCUUGGGCUGCCAUGUGCUCAAACCCUUUAUGGAGGGGAGAUGCAGACAGUAUGUUGAGAAAAUAUUUUCAUUAGAUGUUGGACAAAUGGACAAAACAUGAGGGGUGGCAAGUCUGGUGCUGAGAAAAAAAAUGUGAAGUAAGAACGGGAUUCCUCUGAUCCAGGAUCACAGCUUAGUAACCCAUGAACUGUUCCAAAUUACUUCCCCUCUUUAACUUCUGUUCACUUAUGUAAAGUAUGUUCAAAAUAGUGAGAUGAGGAAGGUCGAUAUUUAAGUCAGUGACUGACACAAAGUAAGAUCUAAACAAACUUAGCUAUUACUCUUGUUUUUACUCCUAUGAAGUUUAAACAUCAGUGUGCUAAUGGCAGCAAAACAUACUUGCUUGAUGAGAACCUCGGGAGCACAGUUUUACUUGAGUCAGUUUAAAGAAGAAGUAAUCUUAUGCAAAAAGUCAUGUCCUCUGUGAAUUUCCUGAACUCUAGAGAUACAACAGCUAAAUUCAGAGAGCCAGUAGUGCAAGACAUUUGAAAGCCAGUGGAGCAUGAGGCUGGACAAGAUGCAUUGUUAUGUGAAAGGCUGGCUGCGGCAGAUAUCAGUUGAGAAAUUAUUAUUCAGGCUGAAUGAUCCAUAUGAUAUUGCAUUGCAUUAUCCUGAGAAGGUCUUGCCAAAAUAGAUUUUGUUACAGGACUCAGAAAAAUUAAUACUACACACUAGAAGAUGUGGAAUAUUUAUAAGGAUAGAAUUUAGAAUUCUUUCACAGUGAUCAGGUGUUCUAUAACUCACCGAAAGUGACUUACUGGAUGAAAGACACUUGUCUGUGGAUUAGCCCACUCUUGCACUGCUGUAAACAAAUAUCUGAGACUAGGUAAUUUGUAACGAAAAGGGGUUUAAUUGGCUCAUGGAUCCACAGGCUAUACAUGAAGCAUGAUGGUGGCAUCUGCUUGGCUUUUGAGGAAGCCUUAGGAAACCUAUAAUCAUGGUGGAAGGUGAAGAGAGAGCCAGCACUUCAUAUGGCUAGAGCAGGAGGAAAGAGGGUCAGGAGGUGCCACACACUUUUAAAUGACCUAAUCUCAUGAGAACUCACUCAUUAUCAGGAGAACAGCACCAAUGGGGAAAUCCAUCCCCAUAAGCCAAUCACCUCCCACCAGGCCCCAUCUCCAACACUGGGGAUUACAGUCUACAUGAGAUUUGGAUUGGGGACACAGAUCCAAAUCAUAUCAGUUUGUUAGUUUUGUUUUAGAUUUCUCAUGGCAAUCGUACUAUAUUACUCCUUAAUGAUGCUAAUAGCUUCUUUUGCUUGCAUUAGCACUUUUAUUGGAGAAAGAGAAAUAAAAGAGAUUCUGUGCUUCAGCAGUAUCUAAAUCAAAA
Long non-coding RNA from Homo sapiens (human), 2177 nucleotides. Ensembl annotates it as long intergenic non-protein coding RNA 2008. The record is from Ensembl. Lineage: Eukaryota; Metazoa; Chordata; Mammalia; Primates; Hominidae.